RNAcentral lists this ribosomal RNA (232 nucleotides) under uncultured bacterium. RNAcentral describes it as "partial 16S ribosomal RNA". It matches the Rfam family "Bacterial small subunit ribosomal RNA", at positions 103 to 334 of the family's 1533-position model. The record is from RNAcentral.
CGGGUAGCGGAACACGUACGCAACCUUCCUUUAACUGGAGAAUAGCCCCUCGAAAGAGGGAUUAAUACUCCGUAACAUCCCGACAUGGCAUCGUGUUGGGAUUAUAGCUCCGGCGGUUAAAGAUGGGCGUGCGCCUGAUUAGAUAGUUGGCGGGGUAACGGCCCACCAAGUCUGCGAUGGGUAGCUGGUGUGAGAGCACGACCAGCCACACGGGCACUGAGACACGGGCCCG